This 292-nucleotide long non-coding RNA is filed under the name Brassica napus (rape). Its description in RNAcentral is "long non-coding RNA (BNAP_LNC018310)". The record is from RNAcentral. Lineage: Eukaryota; Viridiplantae; Streptophyta; Magnoliopsida; Brassicales; Brassicaceae.
AGUAAGUCUUGUUAAGUAAAAAUGUGUCGUAUCAAUGUCAUUUCCAAUUACUUAUGAGGAAAAAAUUCAACUAACCGUAACUGAUGUAAUAACCAAAUAAUUAUGUAACCUAAUUGACCUUCAAAACUUAUAAUCAUGUACUAAAUAAGGUUCUAUAAAUACAUUAUGUAAUAGAAUCAUGUUCGUACCUAACAUUAAUAAGGAGUAUUCACUCCUACACUAACAAUAACUUUUUAAUUUAACUACUUUUUAUGUAAUGUAAUUUAGGUUGGUGGAACAAUAACUCUGAAAU